Molecule: ribosomal RNA, 1371 nt
Filed under: uncultured bacterium
Lineage: Bacteria
Description: bacterial SSU rRNA
Rfam family: Bacterial small subunit ribosomal RNA
Source: RNAcentral
GAUGAACGCUGGCGGCGUGCCUAAUACAUGCAAGUCGAGCGAACGGACGAGAAGCUUGCUUCUCUGAUGUUAGCGGCGGACAGGUGAGUAACACGUGGAUAACCUACCUAUAAGACUGGGAUAACUUCGGGAAACCGGAGCUAAUACCGGAUAAUAUUUUGAACCGCAUGGUUCAAAAGUGAAAGACGGUCUUGCUGUCACUUAUAGAUGGAUCCGCGCUGCAUUAGCUAGUUGGUAAGGUAACGGCUUACCAAGGCAACGAUGCAUAGCCGACCUGAGAGGGUGAUCGGCCACACUGGAACUGAGACACGGUCCAGACUCCUACGGGAGGCAGCAGUAGGGAAUCUUCCGCAAUGGGCGAAAGCCUGACGGAGCAACGCCGCGUGAGUGAUGAAGGUCUUCGGAUCGUAAAACUCUGUUAUUAGGGAAGAACAUAUGUGUAAGUAACUGUGCACAUCUUGACGGUACCUAAUCAGAAAGCCACGGCUAACUACGUGCCAGCAGCCGCGGUAAUACGUAGGUGGCAAGCGUUAUCCGGAAUUAUUGGGCGUNAAGCGCGCGUAGGCGGUUUUUUAGUCUGAUGUGAAAGCCCACGGCUCAACCGUGGAGGGUCAUUGGAAACUGGAAAACUUGAGUGCAGAAGAGGAAAGUGGAAUUCCAUGUGUAGCGGUGAAAUGCGCAGAGAUAUGGAGGAACACCAGUGGCGAAGGCGACUUUCUGGUCUGUAACUGACGCUGAUGUGCGAAAGCGUGGGGAUCAAACAGGAUUAGAUACCCUGGUAGUCCACGCCGUAAACGAUGAGUGCUAAGUGUUAGGGGGUUUCCGCCCCUUAGUGCUGCAGCUAACGCAUUAAGCACUCCGCCUGGGGAGUACGACCGCAAGGUUGAAACUCAAAGGAAUUGACGGGGACCCGCACAAGCGGUGGAGCAUGUGGUUUAAUUCGAAGCAACGCGAAGAACCUUACCAAAUCUUGACAUCCUUUGACAACUCUAGAGAUAGAGCCUUCCCCUUCGGGGGACAAAGUGACAGGUGGUGCAUGGUUGUCGUCAGCUCGUGUCGUGAGAUGUUGGGUUAAGUCCCGCAACGAGCGCAACCCUUAAGCUUAGUUGCCAUCAUUAAGUUGGGCACUCUAAGUUGACUGCCGGUGACAAACCGGAGGAAGGUGGGGAUGACGUCAAAUCAUCAUGCCCCUUAUGAUUUGGGCUACACACGUGCUACAAUGGACAAUACAAAGGGCAGCGAAACCGCGAGGUCAAGCAAAUCCCAUAAAGUUGUUCUCAGUUCGGAUUGUAGUCUGCAACUCGACUACAUGAAGCUGGAAUCGCUAGUAAUCGUAGAUCAGCAUGCUACGGUGAAUACGUUCCCGGGUCU